This 374-nucleotide long non-coding RNA is filed under the name Homo sapiens (human). Its description in RNAcentral is "non-protein coding lnc-MUC19-2:1". Lineage: Eukaryota; Metazoa; Chordata; Mammalia; Primates; Hominidae. The record is from RNAcentral.
CUCAUCCUACCGGGCUUCGGGAUAAUUUCCCAUAUCAUAACAUAUUACUCUGGAAAAAGGAACCAUUUGGGUAUAUGGGUAUAGUGUAAGCCAUAGUAUCAGUUGCCUUCUUGGGGUUUAUCAUAUGGGUCCACCACAUAUUUACAGUAGGAAUAGAUGUAGAUACAUGAGCAUACUUCACUCUGCUACUAUAAUUAUUGCUAUUCCUACUGUUGUCAAAGUCUUUUAGCUGAUUAUCUACACUUCACAGGGGUAAUAUCAAAUGAUCCCCCACCAUGCUCUGAGCCCCAGGGUUUAUUUUCCUUUUUACAGUAGGAGGCCUAACCAGCAUUGUAUUAGCCAACUCAUCACUGGAUAUUGUACUACAUGAUACA